Molecule: long non-coding RNA, 489 nt
Filed under: Capsella grandiflora
Lineage: Eukaryota; Viridiplantae; Streptophyta; Magnoliopsida; Brassicales; Brassicaceae
Description: long non-coding RNA (CGRA_LNC001176)
Source: RNAcentral
GGAAUAUAGAAAUAUUGUAGGAUACAAGAGACAUAGAACACACAUGGGAUGAUGAUCAUCUCAGUGGAACUUGAGGCUGGUCAAGACGUUGUUGUUGACGGGAUCCGCCAAGUGAUCAAGCAGGUUCUGGUAAGGCCCGACUCCGGUCACUAGUCCCUGGAUGAAGUAACCGAGGAUGGCGAGCAUAGCCAGUCUACCGUUCUUGACCUCCUUGAGUUUCAACUCUUUCAUUGACUUCUCAUCUUUCCCAAACCCAAGAGGGUUGAAGAAAGGUCCACCGGGGUAUGAUGGGUCACCUGAACCGGCCAAACCCUUCUCUAACCCCAAGAAGUACUGUUUCCCCAUAGAUCCUGGGUUGUACCAGUCCUGUAACCUCCUGUGCUCAGCAAAUCCCAUCAGAGCCAUCUCAAGAACAAAGAGUGUGUAAUUGUCUGCCCAGUAGCUGUAUGUCCCUGCAGGUGGAAUCACACCGGUUUGGAACCAGGGAAG